GGGGAUAUAGCUCUGUUGACAGAGUGUUUGCCUUGCAUGAACAAGACCCUGGGUUCAAUCCCCAGCACCACA
Molecule: transfer RNA, 72 nt
Filed under: Marmota monax (woodchuck)
Lineage: Eukaryota; Metazoa; Chordata; Mammalia; Rodentia; Sciuridae
Description: tRNA.Ala
Source: RNAcentral